This is a long non-coding RNA of Herpailurus yagouaroundi (jaguarundi), 678 nucleotides long. RefSeq lists it as uncharacterized. NCBI's taxonomy places the organism in Eukaryota, Metazoa, Chordata, Mammalia, Carnivora, Felidae. The transcript is spliced from 4 exons. The record is from RefSeq and is a predicted model, not a curated record.
AGUCCUAACUCCCAGGACCUAAGAAUGUGACCUUGUUUGGAAAUAGGGUCAUUGUUGAUGUAAUUAAACUGAAGAUGAGGUCAUACUGGAGUAGGGUGGGCCCCUGAUCCAAAGAGGACAGGUGUCUUUGAAGAAAGGGGAAAUGUAGACAUAGCCAUGCAUGGGUAGAGCACCAUGGGACACAAGAAGGCAGAGACCGGGAGGAUGAAUCUACAAGCUGAGGAAUGCUAAAGAUUGCCAGCAAACCUCCAGAAGCCAGGUGACUCCUAUGGAUCUGAAAAGAUGAUUGUCAUGUCCCAUCCCAACUUCCAACAUGCCAUGUACAGCAGGGACUGGAUACCUCACAAAAAACUCUCAUUCAAAAAAGGGCAAGGAGCUUCCCCAGCAGUCCUUGUGCAGUGGUGGUGGCAGAGGUUGGUUCUGUCUUCCUCACUUCCAGUGGAGAUCAUUUUACCUCUGGCACAGGUGUGCUGGUCACACAGAGCCUAGGGGCCUUGCUGAAAUGGAUCAGAGACUCCAGGGAGCAACCUGGCCCUUUCUGACAUGUUGAGGACAUAGUGAGAAGACAACUCUCUAUGAACCAGAGUGGAUUCUCACCAGACACUGGAUCUACCUACACUUUGAUCUAGGACUUUCCAACUUCCAGAACUGUGAGAAAUAAGUUUCUACUGUUUAAGC